This 69-nucleotide transfer RNA is filed under the name Ictidomys tridecemlineatus (thirteen-lined ground squirrel). RNAcentral's name for it is "Spermophilus tridecemlineatus (thirteen-lined ground squirrel) tRNA". It matches the Rfam family "tRNA". From Rfam's summary of the family: Transfer RNA (tRNA) molecules are approximately 80 nucleotides in length. Their secondary structure includes four short double-helical elements and three loops (D, anti-codon, and T loops). The record is from Rfam by way of RNAcentral. Lineage: Eukaryota; Metazoa; Chordata; Mammalia; Rodentia; Sciuridae.
GGGGUUGUAGCUCAGUGGUAGAGCGCUUGCAUUGCACGUGUGAGGCCCUGGGUUUGAUUCCUAGCACCA